GUUUGUGUGUCUCAAGGAUAAUGAACUUCAUUUUUAUCAGGAUGGGAAUGAGUCGGUCGGCUUCGGUUUAUGAACGGAUUCAUUUUGGAUAUCCGUGUUCGUCCAUAUUUACUCACACAAAUCCGAAAUGGGUCACCCGAUUACCCGACGGGUUGUUUAGACCCAUCCGUUUCUCUGUUUUUUAGUCACGGUUUUCUCGGUUUGGGUCGGACUCCGGGUUAUUGUCC
Molecule: long non-coding RNA, 227 nt
Filed under: Medicago truncatula (barrel medic)
Lineage: Eukaryota; Viridiplantae; Streptophyta; Magnoliopsida; Fabales; Fabaceae
Description: long non-coding RNA (MTRU_LNC005916)
Source: RNAcentral